Molecule: ribosomal RNA, 1369 nt
Filed under: uncultured bacterium
Lineage: Bacteria
Description: bacterial SSU rRNA
Rfam family: Bacterial small subunit ribosomal RNA
Source: RNAcentral
GACGAACGCUGGCGGCGUGCCUAAUACAUGCAAGUAGAACGCUGAAGAGAGGAGCUUGCUCUUCUUGGAUGAGUUGCGAACGGGUGAGUAACGCGUAGGUAACCUGCCUUGUAGCGGGGGAUAACUAUUGGAAACGAUAGCUAAUACCGCAUAACAAUGGAUGACACAUGUCAUUUAUUUGAAAGGGGCAAAUGCUCCACUACGAGAUGGACCUGCGUUGUAUUAGCUAGUAGGUGAGGUAACGGCUCACCUAGGCGACGAUACAUAGCCGACCUGAGAGGGUGAUCGGCCACACUGGGACUGAGACACGGCCCAGACUCCUACGGGAGGCAGCAGUAGGGAAUCUUCGGCAAUGGGGGCAACCCUGACCGAGCAACGCCGCGUGAGUGAAGAAGGUUUUCGGAUCGUAAAGCUCUGUUGUAAGUCAAGAACGAGUGUGAGAGUGGAAAGUUCACACUGUGACGGUAGCUUACCAGAAAGGGACGGCUAACUACGUGCCAGCAGCCGCGGUAAUACGUAGGUCCCGAGCGUUGUCCGGAUUUAUUGGGCGUAAAGCGAGCGCAGGCGGUUUGAUAAGUCUGAAGUUAAAGGCUGUGGCUCAACCAUAGUUCGCUUUGGAAACUGUCAAACUUGAGUGCAGAAGGGGAGAGUGGAAUUCCAUGUGUAGCGGUGAAAUGCGUAGAUAUAUGGAGGAACACCGGUGGCGAAAGCGGCUCUCUGGUCUGUAACUGACGCUGAGGCUCGAAAGCGUGGGGAGCGAACAGGAUUAGAUACCCUGGUAGUCCACGCCGUAAACGAUGAGUGCUAGGUGUUGGAUCCUUUCCGGGAUUCAGUGCCGCAGCUAACGCAUUAAGCACUCCGCCUGGGGAGUACGACCGCAAGGUUGAAACUCAAAGGAAUUGACGGGGGCCCGCACAAGCGGUGGAGCAUGUGGUUUAAUUCGAAGCAACGCGAAGAACCUUACCAGGUCUUGACAUCCCGAUGCUAUUUCUAGAGAUAGAAAGUUACUUCGGUACAUCGGUGACAGGUGGUGCAUGGUUGUCGUCAGCUCGUGUCGUGAGAUGUUGGGUUAAGUCCCGCAACGAGCGCAACCCCUAUUGUUAGUUGCCAUCAUUCAGUUGGGCACUCUAGCGAGACUGCCGGUAAUAAACCGGAGGAAGGUGGGGAUGACGUCAAAUCAUCAUGCCCCUUAUGACCUGGGCUACACACGUGCUACAAUGGUUGGUACAACGAGUUGCGAGUCGGUGACGGCAAGCUAAUCUCUUAAAGCCAAUCUCAGUUCGGAUUGUAGGCUGCAACUCGCCUACAUGAAGUCGGAAUCGCUAGUAAUCGCGGAUCAGCACGCCGCGGUGAAUACGUUCCCGGGCCU